Molecule: ribosomal RNA, 468 nt
Filed under: uncultured bacterium
Lineage: Bacteria
Description: partial 16S ribosomal RNA
Rfam family: Bacterial small subunit ribosomal RNA
Source: RNAcentral
GACGAACGCUGGCGGCGUGCUUAACACAUGCAAGUCGAACGGAAAGGCCCUGCUUUUGUGGGGUGCUCGAGUGGCGAACGGGUGAGUAACACGUGAGUAACCUGCCCUUGACUUUGGGAUAACUUCAGGAAACUGGGGCUAAUACCGGAUAGGAGCUCCUGCUGCAUGGUGGGGGUUGGAAAGUUUCGGCGGUGGGGGAUGGACUCGCGGCUUAUCAGCUUGUUGGUGGGGUAGUGGCUUACCAAGGCUUUGACGGGUAGCCGGCCUGAGAGGGUGACCGGCCACAUUGGGACUGAGAUACGGCCCAGACUCCUACGGGAGGUAGCAGUGGGGAAUAUUGCACAAUGGGCGGAAGCCUGAUGCAGCAACGCCGCGUGCGGGAUGACGGCCUUCGGGUUGUAAACCGCUUUCGCCUGUGACGAAGCGUGAGUGACGGUAAUGGGUAAAGAAGCACCGGCUAACUACGUG